Molecule: transfer RNA, 88 nt
Filed under: Crocinitomicaceae bacterium TMED209
Lineage: Bacteria; Pseudomonadati; Bacteroidota; Flavobacteriia; Flavobacteriales; Crocinitomicaceae
Also listed under: 1 other name
Description: tRNA-Ser
Rfam family: tRNA
About the family: Transfer RNA (tRNA) molecules are approximately 80 nucleotides in length.
Source: RNAcentral
GGAGAGGUGGCCGAGCGGCUUAAGGCGCACGCCUGGAAAGCGUGUUGGGGGCAACCCCUCCAGGGUUCGAAUCCCUGUCUCUCCGCGA